CAAAACUGUCUUGGACUGGAGAGAUGGCUUAGUGGUUAAGAGCAUGGACUGCUCUUCCAGAGGUCCUGAGUUCAAUUCCCAGCAACCACAUGGUGGCUCACAACCAUCUCUAAUGGAAUCUGGUGCCCUCUUCUACAGCAUACUCUCAUCUCUUAAAGAAAUUGUCUUUGAUAUUCUUUCCUAGCAAAUAAUUAAACUUCUUUUAUUCUAAUUAUAGGAUGAACCAACCACAGGCAUGGACCCCAAAGCCCGGAGAUUCCUGUGGAAUUGUGCCCUAAGCAUUAUCAAGGAGGGAAGAUCCGUAGUUCUUACAUCUCAUAGGUCUGUACUAUUAUAGUCUUGACUUUUACCGAGUGUAAUUAUAUCUGCUCAUUUUAUAAAAAUU
Molecule: long non-coding RNA, 385 nt
Filed under: Rattus norvegicus (Norway rat)
Lineage: Eukaryota; Metazoa; Chordata; Mammalia; Rodentia; Muridae
Description: long non-coding RNA NONRATT023240
Source: RNAcentral